GCUCAGGUGGCGAAACUGGUAGACGCGUACGCUUGAGGGGCGUAUGGGAGCAAUCCUGUGGAGGUUCAAGUCCUCUCCUGAGCACCA
This 87-nucleotide transfer RNA is filed under the name Candidatus Kaiserbacteria bacterium. RNAcentral's name for it is "tRNA-Leu". It matches the Rfam family "tRNA". Rfam says of the family: Transfer RNA (tRNA) molecules are approximately 80 nucleotides in length. Their secondary structure includes four short double-helical elements and three loops (D, anti-codon, and T loops). The record is from RNAcentral. Lineage: Bacteria; Candidatus Kaiseribacteriota.